Capsicum annuum is the source of this 465-nucleotide long non-coding RNA. RefSeq lists it as uncharacterized. The transcript has 2 exons. The record is from RefSeq and is a predicted model, not a curated record. Lineage: Eukaryota; Viridiplantae; Streptophyta; Magnoliopsida; Solanales; Solanaceae.
GUUAUGAGUUAAGAGUAGCAUUUAGGGUUGUGAAUUGGGAAUUUUGAUGGAAUUUGGGGAUUUUUAGAUUCAAUAAUAAAAGGGAUAAGGUGACACAUGGUUGGCUGAGAGCUGAAGUUACUUUACAAGUGGAAUAAAAUCGACAAUCAAGAUUAAAAGAUCAUUAAACCAAAUAGAGGGCCGAGAUCGGUUCUAUAGUUAGUUGUAGGUUGUUAAAUACCUGAUUAGCCAGCUGGAGAAGGCAGUUACUGAAUUGGUAUUCGAAUUUCAUGAAGUCAUCCAUGGCUACUGUAAUUGAUUAGUUACGAUUAGUCAUUACUUAUAUCAGUUGGUUGAGGCAAUUUGUAACCCGUUUCGUUAUUAAUAAAAUUCCCUUUUGAUAAUUCGAUUGUUCAAUUUGUAAGAGCAUUACAAGUGGCAUCAAAGCACGACCCUGGCCACCAUGACUAUUACAGAGAUAAGGUA